This 483-nucleotide ribosomal RNA is filed under the name uncultured bacterium. RNAcentral describes it as "partial 16S ribosomal RNA". It matches the Rfam family "Bacterial small subunit ribosomal RNA", at positions 28 to 523 of the family's 1533-position model. The record is from RNAcentral.
GACGAACGCUGGCGGCGUGCUUAACACAUGCAAGUCGAACGAUGAAGCCGGAGCUUGCUCCGGUGGAUUAGUGGCGAACGGGUGAGUAACACGUGAGCAAUCUGCCCUUGACUCUGGGAUAACUGCGGGAAACUGUAGCUAAUACCGGAUACGACACCUUGGGGCAUCCCAGGGUGUGGAAAGAAUUUCGGUCAAGGAUGAGCUCGCGGCCUAUCAGCUAGUUGGUGAGGGAAUGGCUCACCAAGGCGACGACGGGUAGCCGGCCUGAGAGGGUGACCGGCCACACUGGAACUGAUACACGGUCCAGACUCCUACGGGAGGCAGCAGUGGGGAAUAUUGCACAAUGGGCGAAAGCCUGAUGCAGCAACGCCGCGUGAGGGAUGAAGGCCUUCGGGUUGUAAACCUCUUUUAGCAGGGAAGAAGCGAAAGUGACGGUACCUGCAGAAAAAGCACCGGCUAACUACGUGCCAGCCGCCGCAGUAA